CAAACUUCGAGUAGAGGGACAGUGCCUUUACUUGGAUCAAGCAAUAAUCAGUGUGGCUAAGGUUGAAGUCUGCAAAUGUCUGAUUCUGAAGCCUAUGGUGUUAACCACCCUGUGUCCUGCUGCUUCUGGUACCCAGAUCAGAUUUCUCUUUUUCUCUGCAGGGAGAAAGCACACAUCCUCUUCACUGCGUAUUCUUUCUUCUUCUUCAUGCCGUCCCCAGUUAUUGGAGUGCUGUAGAAAACGUGUAGCCAGGCACAUGUCAAUGACACGUUUCAGCAGGGUGCCUCCUCAGAUAUGGGACUUCCAGAUCGAGAGGCCUUGGAGGAGGGGACGCCGUCCACAGACCUAGCUGGAAGGAUUAUUGAUGGAUUCAAGGAGACCACGUGCUUUUAAGUGGGGUCCAAAAGAAAUACAACGCCAGUCACAGAUGUAAUUUUAUGUUUUCUAGUAGCUACGUUAUAAAAAGCAAAAAAGAAACGUGGCGGACUUUUUGUUGCUGUAAAAACACAUUACAUUAAAUUUACCAUCUUAAUC
RNAcentral lists this long non-coding RNA (534 nucleotides) under Pan paniscus (pygmy chimpanzee). RNAcentral describes it as "lncRNA (ENSPPAG00000044824.1)". The record is from RNAcentral. Lineage: Eukaryota; Metazoa; Chordata; Mammalia; Primates; Hominidae.